AGAGUUUGAUCAUGGCUCAGGAUGAACGCUAGCGGGAGGCUUAACACAUGCAAGUCGAGGGGCAGCAUAGGGUAGCAAUACUCUGAUGGCGACCGGCAAACGGGUGAGUAACGCGUAUGUAACCUACCCUGUACAGGGGGAUAACCCGGAGAAAUUCGGACUAAUAUCCCAUAACAAUAUCCGGGGGCAUCUUUGGAUAUUUAAAGUUCCGGCGGUACGGGAUGGGCAUGCGUAACAUUAGCUAGUUGGUAAGGUAACGGCUUACCAAGGCUUUGAUGUUUAGGGGUCCUGAGAGGGUGGUCCCCCACACUGGUACUGAGACACGGACCAGACUCCUACGGGAGGCAGCAGUGAGGAAUAUUGGUCAAUGGGCGCAAGCCUGAACCAGCCAUCCCGCGUGCAGGAAGACGGCGCUAUGCGUUGUAAACUGCUUUUCCAGGGAGAGAAACUUGCGCACGUGUUGCGCAAUUGACGGUACCCUGGGAAUAAGCAUCGGCUAACUCCGUGCCAGCAGCCGCGGUAAUACGGAGGAUGCGAGCGUUAUCCGGAUUCAUUGGGUUUAAAGGGUGCGUAGGCGGACUAUUAAGUCAGUGGUGAAAUCCUGCAGCUUAACUGCAGAACUGCCAUUGAUACUGAUAGCCUUGAGUUUGGUUAAUGUAGGCGGAAUGUGUAAUGUAGCGGUGAUAUGCUUAGAUAUUACACAGA
This 705-nucleotide ribosomal RNA is filed under the name uncultured bacterium. RNAcentral's name for it is "bacterial SSU rRNA". It matches the Rfam family "Bacterial small subunit ribosomal RNA", at positions 8 to 705 of the family's 1533-position model. The record is from RNAcentral.